RNAcentral lists this long non-coding RNA (233 nucleotides) under Vigna radiata. RNAcentral's name for it is "long non-coding RNA (VRAD_LNC005596)". Lineage: Eukaryota; Viridiplantae; Streptophyta; Magnoliopsida; Fabales; Fabaceae. The record is from RNAcentral.
GGAAAAGUCGAACUUUCAAAUAGGUCACCUCAACAACACUAACAACAACAUUCCUCUUGGAAUGAAAGGAUGUUAAAGCUUGAAGAAACACUUCAACAAUUCAUGCAAGUCCCUAUCUCCAAUCACAAGAGCACAUAAGCAUCCAUUCGCAAUUUGGAUAUGCAAAUGGGCCAAUUGGCACAAAACGUGGAGGAAAAUUUUGAAAAAAAAUUACAGCCAACACUAAGGUCAAC